GGGCUAGGCUGCUCAUGAGAACAGCCUCACUGAGUGUGAGAUAACAAUGAAAGAUCCAAGCAGAAAUGUCAGAAAGAUCGUUGGAAAUAUGGGAUUAGAUGGAAGGAGAAAAUUCUGGAGUAGGGGACUGAACUGGGUGUCAUCAGCAUACAGGCAGUUCUGAAAGCCAUGGGGUUUGAUGAGAUCAACCAGGGACAGUGUGUAGAGGUUGAAUAGCAGGGGGCUGAGAACAGAUGCCUGCAGAACCCUGAUGGAGAGAGAGAGGGAAAAUAAAGGAAGCGCUUUCCCUGUGGAGAUACUGGAAGAACCUUUAGACAGAUAUCAAAUAUUUAGUCAAUCUGAGAUUGAUAUUUAAAUAUGCACAUGACGUCUCAAGAACAUUUUUAUACAAAUAUGUUUUGAGGAGAAUUUGGGGUUGGGGUGAGGCGGACAGAUUCACUCCAGCUCCAUUGAGGCCAAUUAAGGAAUGAAUGUCUUCAGAUCAGCUUCUCUCCCAAAAUGGUUUCUCCCCCUGCUGCUAGUAACGAGACCGCUUGUUGGGCUUGUUUUCACUCUAGAGAGCUUUUGUUUUGUUUCUUAAACCCAUUCUUGGCUUUUAGUGACCUCAUUUCAGGCACAGAAAGCAGCUGGGAAAACAAGGGCGUUCUGAAAGCAGCAGCUGCCUCAGGCCAGGCUGGAAGAUAGCAAGAGCUAUGAGGGAAAUGGGUUUCACCUCAUGUGACUGGGUGGUCCAUGUACAAUUUUGGACGCCACAGGAAGGAACUUGGGGAACUUAAUGCACUCUUCAAAUCAAAUGACUCCUGGUCUUUCUCAGCCCUAUUUGGAGUUGCCAAGGAUUGAACCUGAGACCUUUGUACUGAAAACAGGGAAACAAGUUGGGGAAGAUCACCAAUCAAGUUAACGUGUUUGGAGAAGAUCUAGUUUAUUUGAACCUUGGAACUGCAAUUUUUCUUAACUGUCAAGGAGCAAAUCCUCCUUUUGGAAGAGGAACUGAGCUCAGAGAAUGUGUGCCUAAGAGUCAUAUUCCUCCCUGGUUCAUACAGGAGACCCUCAUUAUUUGCGAGUUCUCUGUCCACAGUUUUGUAUAUUCACAGUUGGGUCAUAGAGACCCAGUUUCUUUAACUGCAGAGCAAAAAUGGGGUAUUUUUGCCUAUCCACGGCUUCUGAUGUCAUUUCCGGCCACCAAUUUGUAUCACAGAGCCAUUUUGUGGCUCUUUUCUUUUUUAAAAAAUACUCAAAAUGUGGGUUUUGGGGAGACAUCACUGGAGGGCAAGGGACUGUGCUUAUUUCUGCCCUCCCCCCACUUUCUGGUGAUUUGGUGAUUCUGAUUGUGGUGAUUCUGGUUCAGAGUGCUUAGGAACCUAACCCUCCCAAUCCCAUAGAAUUAAGGUUUCUUUAUUUGUGGUUUCAAUAUUGAGAAUGGAACACCCAGAAAUAAAGAGGGUCUUCUGUGCCCCUAAAUGCACCAUACUAAUACCAUUGUUUUUAUUUGGCAUGUUAAGGGAUGGUUCAAAUGAAUUACCUCUGCCUGCCACAUGGGUAGGAGGCAGCACGCUGGGUGGAAAUGUGCAUGCCCAUGCACUCCUCCACAUAUUUAAGACAAGUGGCUCAGUGUAUUGUCCCACUCUGAACUGGCUCAAACAUUUCUCAAUACAAUACAGUUAUGCAACAGCUUAAAAAAUAAUGCAAAAAGUCAAUAGUGCUAGAAAUAAAUCACCACCACCAUGCAUGGGGUAUGCCAACAAGAAACUCAUUAUAUUAGGUUUUCAAAGGCAGAACUGGGUAACAGCUACAGUAUUUACAGAAGUUGUUUAUUGAGGGGCUUUUUUCAUAUCCUGGGUAAACAAUGAAAGGGUGACACAAAAAGGAGCACACAAAAAUAUAGCCAUUUAAUCAUGACCUGGUGGGUGUGGCUCCUGAGGAAGCAUCUAGAAAACAGGAAGUGAAGCUCUGACUGCAUUAAAGGUGAAACAUAAAACUUCAGACAUAUAUGCCAAGAGCUGCGUUUAUAUGAUCAAGGAAAAUCUCCCUUUAAAAGCAAGUCAUGGGAGAAGCCUGCUCUUAUAUUACCCCGCUGUGAUGUGGAUCACAUUGCCCUUGCAGGCUCCAAUGUAGAUUGGAGCCAACUGCCCAGCCUUUUGGCUUUAUAUUCAGAGCACAAGCCCUGAUCACUUUCUGCUUUUCUCCUUGUUCUGAAGUUACUGGGUUCUCAAGAGGUUUGGGGAGUUGUUUGGUGGUUUGUUUGUUAAAAUUAAUCACAUUUUAAUGCUCAUUUCCUUUGACAAUUACAUAGUCUUGGACUUUGGAUACAUGUAUUUCAGCAAUGUCAAACGCAGUUCAUGACAACUACCCUACAUACCUGACAAAACACUGUUUCUAAAGCAUGGCUUGCUUGCAUUACAUCAGCUUUCCAAAUUCAUUUAAUACUGAGUUCAGCUGGAGUCAAUAGUUCCAAGAGGAUGAGCUGUCUACUGAAAGAAAGGGAAAUGGCUGGAUCUCUAGUCAGUCAUGAAACUCAGUGGGUAGCACUGGGUAAAGUAAACCACCUUUCGGCCCAAGCCUGCCUGCUUCACAGUAUUGUUGAGAGAAUGCAUGAAGUGUGGAUUCCCUCGCCCCACGUGACACACACAAACACUGAAAAGAGUUUUCUAAAUGGUUAAUAACAACAGUAAUAAUAAUUGGCUUUUGGAAGUCUGUUCCUUAUAACUUAAAACCUGGCAUAGAGUGAAUACUGCCCUCUGCAAACUGAAACAUAAUUAUUUUUAUUCCUUCUGAAACACGAUAAAAUCUUUGUUCUACAAUAUCUACAGCCAAAUGCUUGACGUCUAUGUUUCUGCCUUUUUCAUUGAUGUAAUUUUUCAAUUUCCUGUUUGCGUCCAGGCUUGAUUUAUUUUCCAUUGAUUUUGGUUUGAGUGAAACCAUUAAAAAGCUUGGCACUUGGGUC
Molecule: long non-coding RNA, 2944 nt
Organism: Hemicordylus capensis (graceful crag lizard)
Lineage: Eukaryota; Metazoa; Chordata; Lepidosauria; Squamata; Cordylidae
Exons: 3
Source: RefSeq, a predicted model, not a curated record